RNAcentral lists this ribosomal RNA (854 nucleotides) under uncultured Neocallimastigales. RNAcentral's name for it is "partial large subunit ribosomal RNA". It matches the Rfam family "Eukaryotic large subunit ribosomal RNA", at positions 1 to 628 of the family's 3401-position model. Lineage: Eukaryota; Fungi; Neocallimastigomycota; Neocallimastigomycetes; Neocallimastigales. The record is from RNAcentral.
GUACACGCUGUGACUAGCAUAUCAAUAAGCGGAGGAAAAGGUACCUACGCUUAGGAUGUUGACGCGCGUGUGUGCGUGAGUCUAUACAUGACUCUGUGCAUAUCAAUAAGCGGAGGAAAAGAAACUAACAAGGAUUCCCCUAGUAACGGCGAGUGAAGCGGGAAGAGCUCAAAUUUGAAAUCUUAAAGGGUUUCCCUUUACGAAUUGUAGUUUAAAGAAGUGUUUUCUGUUGAGGUUUUGGUAAAAGUUCUUUGGAAUAGGACAUCAUAGAGGGUGAGAAUCCCGUAUUUGACCUUUACUUUCAACUUUGUGAUACACUUUCAAAGAGUCGGAUUGUUUGGGAAUGCAGUCCAAAAUGGGUGGUAAAUUUCAUCUAAAGCUAAAUAUUGGCGAGAGACCGAUAGCGAACAAGUACCGUGAGGGAAAGAUGAAAAGAACUUUGAAAAGAGAGUUAAACAGUACGUGAAAUUGUCAAAAGGGAAGCGUUUGACACCAGUGUUGUUUUUCUGAAAAUCAAUUAAAGAACUGUUUAUGCUAAGUUGUUUAGACUUUAUCAGCUAACUGUUUAGUUUUGAGCUUUUCUUUAAUGCACUUUUCAGUUAACAAGUCAACAUCAAUUUCUUUUGCUGUAAAGAAGCUUGAGGAAGGUGGCUUGAGAUUCGUCUUAAGUGUUUAUAGCCUCUUGCCUAUGCAGUCGGAGAGAUUGAGGUCUGCAGCGUAGAUCCUUCGGGGCUAAAUGCAUUUGUGCUAAGUUAUAGCAUUUAUAGACAACUUGUUGACUAUGAUUUGUCUUGUAGCUUACUCGCUUAUGUUAUUUUACCUACGCUUAGGAUGUUGAGUCGUAGAGCACGCAG